RNAcentral lists this ribosomal RNA (473 nucleotides) under uncultured bacterium. Its description in RNAcentral is "bacterial SSU rRNA". It matches the Rfam family "Bacterial small subunit ribosomal RNA", at positions 35 to 507 of the family's 1533-position model. The record is from RNAcentral.
GCUGGCGGCGUGCCUAACACAUGCAAGUCAACUUGACUGAAGGAGCAAUCUGACAGUAGAGUGGCGCAAGGGUGCGUAACGCGUAAGUAACUUGCCCAAGGUAAGGAAUAACGUCGAGAAAUCGGCGCUAAUACCUCAUAAUGCAGCGGAUCCGCAUGGAUAUGUUGUUAAAGGUUUACCGCCUUGGGAUAGGCUUGCGUCUGAUUAGCUAGUUGGUGUGGUAACGGCACACCAAGGCUACGAUCAGUAACUGGGUCUGAGAGGAUGAUCAGUCACACUGGAACUGAGACACGGUCCAGACUCCUACGGGAGGCAGCAGUGAGGAAUAUUGGGCAAUGCUCGAAAGAGUGACCCAGCAACGCCGCGUGGAGGAUGAAGGUAUUCUAUAUCGUAAACUCCUGUGAGAGCAGACGAAAGACAGAUUAUUAAUCUGGAUGACUGUAUGCUCAGAGGAAGCCCCGGCUAACUACGUG